CCUAUUUGUGUAAUACCCACAUUUUACCCGGCCUACAAAAACAGUCCAAAUUACAAUGGGCUUAUGUGGCCUAAAACCCAAACCCAAAUUACAAAAGGGCCUGUAAGGCCCAAAAUAAACAACGGCCCAAACUACAGUGACCCAGGAACACCAGAAACCCUAGGGUUUCUAACCUUUGCGCCGCAGCCACCUAACUCCUCGUGCAGCCAAGACCCAAUUGUACCUGCACAUCAAGCAAUAAACAACAAAAAAGGAAAGGAAAUCAAAUAUUUGCAGAAUCAAAUCGAGCAAAUUCAUUAUUUGAUUCCUAUUUCGGCUAUAAAAAAGCCACCAAUAC
RNAcentral lists this long non-coding RNA (337 nucleotides) under Gossypium raimondii (Peruvian cotton). Its description in RNAcentral is "long non-coding RNA (GRAI_LNC009175)". The record is from RNAcentral. Lineage: Eukaryota; Viridiplantae; Streptophyta; Magnoliopsida; Malvales; Malvaceae.